Molecule: unclassified non-coding RNA, 228 nt
Filed under: Hevea brasiliensis (rubber tree)
Lineage: Eukaryota; Viridiplantae; Streptophyta; Magnoliopsida; Malpighiales; Euphorbiaceae
Source: RNAcentral
GAGAGAGAGAGAGAGAGAGAGGGGCUCACACAGACAGAAACUAUAAUUGUUAAAUGCCCAAAACUACAAUAAAUGCCAAUGACAUUUGAGCCCCAAACCUCCCAUUUAAGAUCAAACAAAAUACAAGAUCAUCACGGCCAGAAACUUCAUUUUAUAAGACUAACAUAAAACCAUCACAAUACUAUAAACAGCUUUCAUGCUUAUCAGCAAGCAUGCAUUCAAUUUACC